Molecule: transfer RNA, 63 nt
Filed under: Leucophytia bidentata (two-toothed white snail)
Lineage: Eukaryota; Metazoa; Mollusca; Gastropoda; Ellobiida; Ellobiidae
Description: Auriculinella bidentata (two-toothed white snail) tRNA-Pro
Source: RNAcentral
UCAAAAACAGUCUAAGAAGAUACUAACUUUGGAAGUUAGAGGCUGAGGAAUCUCAUUUUUGAA